AUGUUAGUGGCAGAGUGUCGAGGUCACAAGCUGCUGCAUUCAGGGGGGAAGCAUUACACAAGCCAGAAUGUGCUUGCUACUGUUGACUUCGAUCUGAAGUUCACCUAUGUGCUGGCUGGCUAGGAAGGGUCAACACAUGAUGCUAACAUACUGAGUGACAACAUCAGUUGUCCUGAUGGCAUCAACAUCCUCGAUGGCAAGUUCUACCUCAGAUAUGCCGGCUUUGCAUGUUGGCCAGGUGUUCUUCCACCCUUCAGGAAGACCAGGUACCAUCUGAACAAGUUCUCUGGUAGGAACUACCCUAGGACUCCACGGGAGUUGUUCAAUCUCAGACACUCCAGCCUUCAAGUAACGGUUGAGAGGGCAUUUGGAGCUCUCAAGAACAUAUUCAAGAUCUUGGAUCAGAAGCCAUUCCACCCUUAUCCUACCUAG
This 432-nucleotide ribosomal RNA is filed under the name Triticum aestivum (bread wheat). RNAcentral describes it as "partial small subunit ribosomal RNA". The record is from RNAcentral. Lineage: Eukaryota; Viridiplantae; Streptophyta; Magnoliopsida; Poales; Poaceae.